This is a long non-coding RNA of Anneissia japonica, 381 nucleotides long. RefSeq lists it as uncharacterized. Lineage: Eukaryota; Metazoa; Echinodermata; Crinoidea; Comatulida; Comatulidae. The record is from RefSeq and is a predicted model, not a curated record. The transcript is spliced from 3 exons.
AGAACUGGCCAAUCAAAUUAUCCAUUGAUGAUGUCAUUGAAACUUUUCUGUUUUUGCGCGCUAGGCCUGUGUGUGAUGUGCGGUGUGUGGGUGCUAGUACACGAAGCAAUUUCCGUCUCCUUGCUCUAAACUCAAAUACCAAAGAUGGACCAUAGUGAAAAAUCCUUAUAGAAGUUGUGCAGAGAUUCAAAAUAUUGUAUGAAAGAAGGGCUGCCAACUACAAAAAUAAGAGAACUAUGAAAAAAAAUGCUCUAGAAAAAGUGGCGGACGAGUUGAACUACAUGAAGGUAAAAUGCAGGGGAGAGGCAGCCUGGACGGGAGAUCUUGUAGAACGGGCAUAUAAAAAUGUGCGUACUCGCUUUUCGAGAUACCUUAAAGAUU